GACGAACGCUGGCGGCGUGCUUAACACAUGCAAGUCGAACGCUGAAGCUUGGUGCUUGCACUGGGUGGAUGAGUGGCGAACGGGUGAGUAAUACGUGAGUAACCUGCCCUUGACUCUGGGAUAAGCCUGGGAAACUGGGUCUAAUACUGGAUACGACAUGCCACUGCAUGGUGGUGUGUGGAAAGGGUUUUACUGGUUUUGGAUGGGCUCACGGCCUAUCAGCUUGUUGGUGGGGUAAUGGCCUACCAAGGCGACGACGGGUAGCCGGCCUGAGCGGGUGACCGGCCACACUGGGACUGAGACACGGCCCAGACUCCUACGGGAGGCAGCAGUGGGGAAUAUGGCACAAUGGGCGGAAGCCUGAUGCAGCGACGCCGCGUGAGGGAUGACGGCCUUCGGGUUGUAAACCUCUUUCAGCACGGAAGAAGCGAGAGUGACGGUACGUGCAGAAGAAGCGCCGGCUAACUACGUG
RNAcentral lists this ribosomal RNA (472 nucleotides) under uncultured bacterium. RNAcentral describes it as "partial 16S ribosomal RNA". It matches the Rfam family "Bacterial small subunit ribosomal RNA", at positions 28 to 507 of the family's 1533-position model. The record is from RNAcentral.